CCUACGGGGGGCAGCAGUGGGGAAUAUUGCACAAUGGGGGAAACCCUGAUGCAGCGACGCCGCGUGAGUGAAGAAGUAAUUCGUUACGUAAAGCUCUAUCAGCAGGGAAGAAACACUGACCUUACGGUCAGCAGACGGUACCUGAGUAAGAAGCCCCGGCUAAAUACGUGCCAGCAGCCGCGGUAAUACGUAGGGGGCGAGCGUUAUCCGGAUUCACUGGGUGUAAAGGGAGCGUAGACGGCCAAGCAAGACAGGGGGGAAAGCCCGGGGCCCAACCCCGGGACUGCCCUUGGAACUGCAUGGCUGGAGUGCGGGAGGGGCAGGCGGAAUUCCUGGUGUAGCGGUGAAAUGCGUAGAUAUCAGGAGGAACACCGGCGGCGAAGGCGGCCUGCUGGACCGCGACUGACGUUGAGGCUCGAAAGCGUGGGGAGCGAACAGGAUUAGAUACCCGGGUAGUG
This 458-nucleotide ribosomal RNA is filed under the name uncultured bacterium. RNAcentral's name for it is "partial 16S ribosomal RNA". It matches the Rfam family "Bacterial small subunit ribosomal RNA", at positions 338 to 795 of the family's 1533-position model. The record is from RNAcentral.